This 170-nucleotide non-coding RNA is filed under the name uncultured Flavonifractor sp. Its description in RNAcentral is "Lysine riboswitch". It matches the Rfam family "Lysine riboswitch aptamer". From Rfam's summary of the family: Riboswitches are metabolite binding domains within certain messenger RNAs that serve as precision sensors for their corresponding targets. Allosteric rearrangement of mRNA structure is mediated by ligand binding, and this results in modulation of gene expression. The record is from RNAcentral. Lineage: Bacteria; Bacillati; Bacillota; Clostridia; Eubacteriales; Oscillospiraceae.
AACAGAGGUCGCGGCUGUUCAACAGUAGCGCGGGGAGGGCUCCGGUGGCCCCUGGAACCGCUGCGAAAGGGGACGCCGCCGAAGGAGCCCGGUCCACGGAAGCCCCGCUCCUGGUCGCCCGGCGAAGAGCCGUCCGACUGUCGCCGCGCGCCGCGGUGGAGCGCUGUCUG